GUUUUUAUAGUUUAAAUUAAAACAUUGGUCUUGUAAACCAAAAUUGUGAUAUUCUCUAAAAACU
This 64-nucleotide transfer RNA is filed under the name Drepana pallida. RNAcentral's name for it is "tRNA-Thr". It matches the Rfam family "tRNA". From Rfam's summary of the family: Transfer RNA (tRNA) molecules are approximately 80 nucleotides in length. Their secondary structure includes four short double-helical elements and three loops (D, anti-codon, and T loops). The record is from RNAcentral. Lineage: Eukaryota; Metazoa; Arthropoda; Insecta; Lepidoptera; Drepanidae.